UCCACUGUGCACCCAGCAGCACAGCACGGCACAAAUAUAUUUUUAGGAAACCUUCCAGCUUAUGCAAAUACGGUCUUCUGUCGUACCCCAUUGCCUUCUUCCGAGAAUACAGUUGCCAAGAAGAAAAGUAACAUUCACAACAUCCUUGCCUUUAAAGGAAGACGAGAUUUGAUUCACAGAUGUGCCAGUCCCUGGGAUGCAAAGAUGAAUUGGAAUGCUUCUGCACUCAAGGUGCUCACAGGCUAGUAAGAGUAGGAGAUGCGCAAGCAAGUAGGUGCAAAGGUAUGUUAUAGAUUCUCUCAUGGAAUUCUGCACAAGGACUUGAAUAAAAUUCUCUUGAGGGGAGAGAAGAAGAUAAUAGGUCAAGAAAGCCUCCUUAGAAGGGAUUGAAAAUCAAAUAGAUAUUUGUCAGACAGGUGUACCAGGACAGAAGAGGGAGCCAGAUGGUCUCUCAGAAAG
Long non-coding RNA from Balaenoptera musculus (blue whale), 459 nucleotides. RefSeq lists it as uncharacterized. Lineage: Eukaryota; Metazoa; Chordata; Mammalia; Artiodactyla; Balaenopteridae. The record is from RefSeq and is a predicted model, not a curated record. The transcript has 3 exons.